GAUGAACGCUAGCUACAGGCUUAACACAUGCAAGUCGCGGGGCAGCAUGUCGGUUGCUUGCAACCGAUGAUGGCGACCGGCGCACGGGUGAGUAACGCGUAUCCAACCCGCCCUUCACCACGGAAUAAUCCAGUGAAAAUUGGUCUAAGACCGUAUGAGGUCAUCAGAUGGCAUCUGAAUAGGAAGCAAGGUUUGGCGGUGUGGGAUGGGGAUGCGUCUGAUUGGCUUGUUGGUGAGUUAACGGCUCACCAGGGCGACGAUAAGUAGGGGUUCUGAGAGGAAGGUCCCCAUCAUUGGAAUUGAGACACAGUCCAAACUCCUACGGGCGGCAGCAGUGAGGAUUAUUGGUCAAUGAGCGAGAGCCUGAACCAGCCAAGUAGCGUGCAGGAAGACGGCCCUAUGGGUUGUAAACUGCUUUUAUAUGGGGAUAAAGUGAGCUACGUUUAGUUUAUUGCAGGUACCAUAUGAAUAAGGACCGGCUAAUUCCGUGCCAGCAGCCGCCGUAA
Molecule: ribosomal RNA, 506 nt
Filed under: uncultured bacterium
Lineage: Bacteria
Description: partial 16S ribosomal RNA
Rfam family: Bacterial small subunit ribosomal RNA
Source: RNAcentral